This 345-nucleotide unclassified non-coding RNA is filed under the name soil metagenome. RNAcentral's name for it is "partial contains 5.8S ribosomal RNA, internal transcribed spacer 2, and large subunit ribosomal RNA". The stretch from base 1 to 119 matches the Rfam family "5.8S ribosomal RNA", at positions 35 to 154 of the family's 154-position model. The record is from RNAcentral.
GAUGAAGAACGCAGCGAAAUGCGAUACGUAAUGUGAAUUGCAAAUUCAGUGAAUCAUCGAGUCUUUGAACGCACAUUGCGCCCCCUGGUAUUCCGGGGGGCAUGCCUGUCCGAGCGUCAUUGCUGCCCUCAAGCACGGCUUGUGUGUUGGGCCCCGUCCUCCGAUCCCGGGGGACGGGCCCGAAAGGCAGCGGCAGCACCGCGUCCGGUCCUCGAGCGUAUGGGGCUUUGUCACCCGCUCUGUAGGCCCGGCCGGCGCUUGCCGAUCAACCCAAAUUUUUAUCCAGGUUGACCUCGGAUCAGGUAGGGAUACCCGCUGAACUUAAGCAUAUCAAUAAGCGGAGGA